UAACGCGUAGGUAACCUGCCUUGUAGCGGGGGAUAACUAUUGGAAACGAUAGCUAAUACCGCAUAACAAUGGGUGACUCAUGUCAUUUAUUUGAAAAGGGGCAAAUGCUCCACUACAAGAUGGACUGCGUUGUAUUAGCUAGUAGGUGAGGUAACGGCUCACCUAGGCGACGAUACAUAGCCGACCUGAGAGGGUGAUCGGCCACACUGGGACUGAGACACGGCCCAG
Molecule: ribosomal RNA, 228 nt
Filed under: uncultured bacterium
Lineage: Bacteria
Description: partial 16S ribosomal RNA
Rfam family: Bacterial small subunit ribosomal RNA
Source: RNAcentral